RNAcentral lists this small RNA (3489 nucleotides) under Pan troglodytes (chimpanzee). RNAcentral describes it as "retained intron". The stretch from base 1185 to 1216 matches the Rfam family "Iron response element II". The record is from RNAcentral. Lineage: Eukaryota; Metazoa; Chordata; Mammalia; Primates; Hominidae.
GUGAUCCGCCUGCCUCGGCCUCUCAAAGUACAGGGAUUACAGGCGUGAGCUCCUGUGCCUGGCCUGCCUGUGUAGUUUUGAUCACCAUUUGUUUCCCGUCUAUGGAACCUCUGACUCCUCUGUCUGCUUUGACUGAGGAUUCUAUUCUGGGUGUUCUCUCAUGUCUGAAGCCUUCUUCAGAGCCUCUCCUCCUGUCAUCAUUUAAAGUACCCCAGCGUUUGUACAUUAUUACCAUGCACACUGUAACUCAGUAAAGAUUUUUGAUGACCUGUGGGUGUAGAAGGAUUAUAGAGGAAGAUCCUAGAUAACAUUGCUGCUAGUCUCUGCCCACAUCACAGCAUAUGUCCAGUGUUUUCCCUCCAGCCUACCUCUUAUAGAUGAUUGUGUAUGAUAUGUAGGAGAGCUCUUAUUUGGUCCUUGCUUCUGAAACAAAAGUUGCUGUUGAAUUGCUUUGGGUUCUAGGUUGAAGUCUGUACAAAUACCAGCAGUCCUCAUGCUGGCCUCUUUCCUAAAGAUAACUCGACACUGGCUGUGGACAUCUACAAAGGGGGUGUUGUGCUGGGAUGUUACUUUGGGCCUGCUGCACUCUACAUUUGGGCAGUGGGGAUCCUGGCUGCAGGACAGAGCUCCACCAUGACAGGAACCUAUUCUGGCCAGUUUGUCAUGGAGGGAUUCCUGAACCUAAAGUGGUCACGCUUUGCCCGAGUGGUUCUGACUCGCUCUAUUGCCAUCAUCCCCACUCUGCUUGUUGCUGUCUUCCAAGAUGUAGAGCAUCUAACAGGGAUGAAUGACUUUCUGAAUGUUCUACAGAGCUUACAGCUUCCCUUUGCUCUCAUACCCAUCCUCACAUUUACGAGCUUGCGGCCAGUAAUGAGUGACUUUGCCAAUGGACUAGGCUGGCGGAUUGCAGGAGGAAUCUUGGUCCUUAUCAUCUGUUCCAUCAAUAUGUACUUUGUGGUGGUUUAUGUCCGGGACCUAGGGCAUGUGGCAUUAUAUGUGGUGGCUGCUGUGGUCAGCGUGGCUUAUCUGGGCUUUGUGUUCUACUUGGGUUGGCAAUGUUUGAUUGCACUGGGCAUGUCCUUCCUGGACUGUGGGCAUACGGUAAGCAUCUCUAAAGGCCUGCUGACAGAAGAAGCCACCCGUGGCUACGUUAAAUAACACUGGAUUAGUCUGUCUUCUGCAGGUAGCCAUCAGAGCCAGUGUGUUUCUAUGGUUUACUGUGUGAACAUAGCCAAAAGUAUGUGCAGUUGCACAGACUGUGUUUAUGACUCAACCGUUGGUUGGAAAAGACUUUGUUUCAUGUGUAUUUGAAAGAUGGAAUUAUUUUUUCCUUCCUGACCUAACCUUAGAACUGGAUUAGGGUGGGAUCUUUGAAAAGCUGACAUUUGCUGCUAUCAUUCCAACACUCAAUUCUUAAGUAGUUGCCCAAGGGCCAGCUCAGUUUAUCCUUUGGAGAGACAAGGAUAUGCAUGAUUCUUAACCAGGCUAUAUGUUAAAAAAAAAUUGGAAAAUGCAAUACAUUUUUUAUUAUACAAACUACAGAAUGAGUAUGCAAGUUUUAUUUAUCAAAAUGUAAUGGAUUUUUAAAGGCUGAGAAAUUUUCCUUAUACCUACCUUUUCAGUUAUUUUAAUUAUACCAAAUUAUCAACUAGAAUAGCUUCAUCCAUAUGAAAUAUAAAAUGAAGAGACACCUAGCUCUAUCAGGCUUAGGAUUCUUUGAACUUAUUUCCACUUUAAUUUCUCAGUGGAAGUUAAGAGGGGUGAGAAAACAAAGAAGGGGAAAAACUGACAACUAACGAAACCAGCACCACAUCGCUAGGUGGUGCUUACUAAUUACCUUCUCAGGAUUUUCCUCAGAUUGAAAAGCUUAUGAGGAUUUCUUGGGAGUCUUAAUAACCUGCCUGUUAGUACAGAGCUUUCCUGAUGAUAUUUACUCUUGAGCAUAUGUGGUUGUAAAACCUUAACUUUCUUUCUCCAGGAGGGUGGUGAUAGAAAAAGAUGGUAGUAUUUAUGAACUGAUGUUCUCGUGAAAUGUUGAGGGUGGGGAGAAAAGACUUUAAGGGAGGAGAGCCAUCUAUUUUGUUCCUAAAGCCACCUCUCAGCAGAAUCAUCAUGUUUUUCUGAUGCACCGCUCUGCUUCAUGCCCAAGAUGACUUGCGAGGCAAUCUCAGGAGCUGUGGACUUAACCAUUGCAAAGCACACUGUCUUUCUCAGCGUUCUCUGCAAGUCAGUAGGUGUUAGUAUGGUUGCAAAGUUCACUGUCUCGGCAAGGUUGAACUGGGCUACCUCUCUACAGCUGUUUCCUCAGAGGGAAAAAUCUUGAGACCAGAUGGUGGAGCUCUGGAGUCAGAGGAAAUGGGUGUCUUCAGCACAAAGCUGCUGCUUUUACUUCAGCCACUUCUGACAUUUUUACAUACCGAGCCUGAGAUUGUGUGAUUAUCUCAAAUCAAAUCACUUUGAUGGAGAUAAAUAAUCAAAACUGUUUUAUAGCCAUUGAUUUGGUGAGAACAGUAAUGGAAAAUGGUGUUGAAGGACUUCUCAUUUUUGGAGCUUUCCUUCCAGAAUCCUGGUUGAUUGGUGUUCGCUGUUCAUCUGAGCCCCCAAAAGCAUUAUUACUGAUACUUGCACACAGUCAAAAGCGCAGACUGGAUGGAUGGUCUUUUAUAAGGCAUUUAAGGGUACACUACUGUGUUUCACUGACCAUACAUUUUUCUUAGCCCCUCAAGUAAUAUAGCACAGAGUCAUGAAUGACAAUUCCCCUAACCAUUCCUCUUCAUAUCUGCCUCUUCCCCUUACCAUCGUAAUUCUCCAAACUGGUCAUAAAGGCACUCUGUGAAGAUAUUGGGGACUGACAUCUUAAGCUCUCACCUGGCUGCAGUAGGAAAGGCCAAACUGAUGACAAAAAAAAAAUUCUUUAUAAAGAUGAUAUGGUAACAUGUAUCUUUGCCCUGGGUCUGGGUGGGUCCAGUCAGUCUCAGAUUUACAAGCAUUUAGGAGCCUAGGUAAAAGCUGCUAGUAUUCUUUUAAAAGUUAUAUUUAUGACUUGCAAUGAUAGAAAACUCCUUCCAAUUAAAUGGCAUUUUAUAAUAUUAUGUGUGUACUUCACAGUGUUAAAAAUACCCUCAUACGUUAUUGCAUUUGAUCCUCACAGAAAGUGCAUUUUAACCAGUACUCCGGGUGCAAUAAAUAAUACGUAGAAAUUUAAGUCCUCCAAUUCCAGCAUAUCCAGUGAGUUUUGACAGUGUGUUUAUGUGGAAUGUUUAAGGAUAUACAAUUGUACUUUAUAUAAAUUGGUUCUUGUUCUUCUUAAAUGUGACAUGAAAUAAUUGUGCUGCUACAUUAUACUGGAAAUUAACAGGGGAAAAGGGAAGAGCUCUUGGCUCCCUUGAGGUUCUGCUAGUGGUGUUAGGAGUGGUUACAACUGAGCUUUUAGUAACCAUUUAACCAUAUGUAAACUUGGUUUCUAAUUAAAAAAAAUUUCUUUUUCCA